RNAcentral lists this long non-coding RNA (805 nucleotides) under Sorghum bicolor (sorghum). RNAcentral describes it as "long non-coding RNA (SBIC_LNC000228)". Lineage: Eukaryota; Viridiplantae; Streptophyta; Magnoliopsida; Poales; Poaceae. The record is from RNAcentral.
GUUGCGGUCCAAACAAAACGGUGUUCGGAUUUUUCAUGCGGGCUCGGGGUGGAGCGGUGGCGUCCCCAGACCCAGAUGGGAGAAGGUCUCCUCCGGCUUUUCCAAAAUCAGGGGGGCGCCGUGUCUUUUCCAAAAACUAGUGGAGCGCCCGUGGCUCUCAUGACCUGAUUUUGGAUACAAAAUGGCAUGGCGCAAUUAUGUUUGGCCUGUUUUGGGUGUGUGUUUGUUUGCUACUGCUUGUUUGAAUUGUCUUCUAUAAUAUAAAGGCCAGGUGUUGUCAAGUGGCGUACACCGAAUAAAACCAGCCAAAACGGCAGCCUGCACCAUUUGUUCUGGCGUGCAGGCACCAUAUUUUUUUUACCAUGAUAUCCUCUGCAUGAACUAAGCUAGUUUAUAUAUGUAAGUGUGCCUGUGUAUUGUGAACGUUUAUGUUGUAUUGUGUACUAAAAAAAUACUAAAAUGGAUGGGACAGUACUGAAAUACAACAUACUAAAUUUGGUUUUUAUUAUUUAUUUUUAUUUUUAUUUUGGUUUGGAGAUAAAAAGGUAAUUAUAAUAUUUUAUUCAUACACACGCUUACGCAUUUAGUGUUUAUUAGUAUAAUAUAAAAUUCACAGUUCUAGUUUUUGACAGAUGCAAGUGUCUUUGACGGACACAAGUAGGAAUUGACGCGUCGAACGUUUUCAAUCCCUGCCAAAAGCUCCUCGAGUACUCCCUCCGUUCAUUAAAAAUAUUAUUUUUAACUUUUGAAUUUCUUAUUUAGCCAUUUAUCUAUUUCAUUUUUUAUGCUAAUAAUAAAAUAAAUA